Molecule: regulatory RNA element, 136 nt
Rfam family: PyrR binding site
About the family: This family represents the PyrR binding site and terminator structure.
Source: Rfam
AAAACUUUUAAAUUAGUCCAGAGAGGCUAGUAAGGUACAUAGUACAAGUACGUAAGUACGAGUACAGGGAUAAGUAUGCCGUGAUUGGAUGAAACCCAACCUUGCUGCGCCUGAGAGGCAGUGAGGUUUUUUUAUU